Molecule: transfer RNA, 118 nt
Filed under: Pseudogymnoascus sp. VKM F-4516 (FW-969)
Lineage: Eukaryota; Fungi; Ascomycota; Leotiomycetes; Thelebolales; Thelebolaceae
Rfam family: tRNA
About the family: Transfer RNA (tRNA) molecules are approximately 80 nucleotides in length. Their secondary structure includes four short double-helical elements and three loops (D, anti-codon, and T loops).
Source: Rfam by way of RNAcentral
GGACAGAUGGCCGAGCUGGUUAUGGCGCCAGGUUAAGGUUGCACCUUAAUACAACGUGAUUUAUUCACAUAGUUUCCUGGUCACGAAAGUGGCGUGGGUUCGAGUCCCACUCUGUUCA